RNAcentral lists this ribosomal RNA (441 nucleotides) under uncultured Enterococcus sp. RNAcentral's name for it is "bacterial SSU rRNA". It matches the Rfam family "Bacterial small subunit ribosomal RNA", at positions 349 to 782 of the family's 1533-position model. The record is from RNAcentral. Lineage: Bacteria; Bacillati; Bacillota; Bacilli; Lactobacillales; Enterococcaceae.
CAGCAGUAGGGAAUCUUCGGCAAUGGACGAAAGUCUGACCGAGCAACGCCGCGUGAGUGAAGAAGGUUUUCGGAUCGUAAAACUCUGUUGUUAGAGAAGAACAAGGACGUUAGUAACUGAACGUCCCCUGACGGUAUCUAACCAGAAAGCCACGGCUAACUACGUGCCAGCAGCCGCGGUAAUACGUAGGUGGCAAGCGUUGUCCGGAUUUAUUGGGCGUAAAGCGAGCGCAGGCGGUUUCUUAAGUCUGAUGUGAAAGCCCCCGGCUCAACCGGGGAGGGUCAUUGGAAACUGGGAGACUUGAGUGCAGAAGAGGAGAGUGGAAUUCCAUGUGUAGCGGUGAAAUGCGUAGAUAUAUGGAGGAACACCAGUGGCGAAGGCGGCUCUCUGGUCUGUAACUGACGCUCAGGUGCGAAAGCGUGGGGAGCAAACAGGAUUAGA